Molecule: ribosomal RNA, 253 nt
Filed under: uncultured bacterium
Lineage: Bacteria
Description: partial 16S ribosomal RNA
Rfam family: Bacterial small subunit ribosomal RNA
Source: RNAcentral
UACAGAGGUCUCAAGCGUUGUUCGGAUUCAUUGGGCGUAAAGGGUGCGUAGGUGGCGCCAUAAGUCAGGUGUGAAAUCUCGGGGCUCAACCUCGAAACUGCACUUGAUACUGUGGUGCUCGAGUACUGGAGAGGAGAUUGGAAUUUACGGUGUAGCAGUGAAAUGCGUAGAUAUCGUAAGGAAGACCAGUGGCGAAGGCGAAUCUCUGGACAGUUACUGACACUGAGGCACGAAGGCCAGGGGAGCAAACGGG